This 737-nucleotide ribosomal RNA is filed under the name Curtobacterium flaccumfaciens pv. flaccumfaciens. RNAcentral's name for it is "bacterial SSU rRNA". It matches the Rfam family "Bacterial small subunit ribosomal RNA", at positions 373 to 1122 of the family's 1533-position model. The record is from RNAcentral. Lineage: Bacteria; Bacillati; Actinomycetota; Actinomycetes; Micrococcales; Microbacteriaceae.
GGGCGAAAGCCUGAUGCAGCAACGCCGCGUGAGGGAUGACGGCCUUCGGGUUGUAAACCUCUUUUAGUAGGGAAGAAGCGAAAGUGACGGUACCUGCAGAAAAAGCACCGGCUAACUACGUGCCAGCAGCCGCGGUAAUACGUAGGGUGCAAGCGUUGUCCGGAAUUAUUGGGCGUAAAGAGCUCGUAGGCGGUUUGUCGCGUCUGCUGUGAAAUCCCGAGGCUCAACCUCGGGCUUGCAGUGGGUACGGGCAGACUAGAGUGCGGUAGGGGAGAUUGGAAUUCCUGGUGUAGCGGUGGAAUGCGCAGAUAUCAGGAGGAACACCGAUGGCGAAGGCAGAUCUCUGGGCCGUAACUGACGCUGAGGAGCGAAAGCAUGGGGAGCGAACAGGAUUAGAUACCCUGGUAGUCCAUGCCGUAAACGUUGGGCGCUAGAUGUAGGGACCUUUCCACGGUUUCUGUGUCGUAGCUAACGCAUUAAGCGCCCCGCCUGGGGAGUACGGCCGCAAGGCUAAAACUCAAAGGAAUUGACGGGGGCCCGCACAAGCGGCGGAGCAUGCGGAUUAAUUCGAUGCAACGCGAAGAACCUUACCAAGGCUUGACAUACACCGGAAACGGCCAGAGAUGGUCGCCCCCUUGUGGUCGGUGUACAGGUGGUGCAUGGUUGUCGUCAGCUCGUGUCGUGAGAUGUUGGGUUAAGUCCCGCAACGAGCGCAACCCUCGUUCUAUGUUGCCAGC